Molecule: long non-coding RNA, 306 nt
Filed under: Spirodela polyrhiza (greater duckweed)
Lineage: Eukaryota; Viridiplantae; Streptophyta; Magnoliopsida; Alismatales; Araceae
Description: long non-coding RNA (SPOL_LNC002643)
Source: RNAcentral
GUUCGCCUCUUCAGUUCCAUCCAAGCUCGGUUUUGUCUGAAUCUUCGUGGAAGAAGAAGAAGCGGUUCAUUGAUCUACUCUUUCGAGAGAAGUAGGGAACAAUGUUAUUAACCGAUCGAUACGAAGAUACAAGAAUGGGUAGUGGAACAUCCAAUAGUAGGUAAGUUCCCGGCGGAAACCCCCGUUUUUGCCAGCAUGACAGAAAAUAGAGACUGGCAGCAAGGAGUCAACUGAAUGACCAAAGCAUCGGUUGCUUCCACUUGUGGUCUUCUCCCUCACUUUUUUACAGAAAUGAGGAUACACAGA